AUUGCUUCUUGGCCUUUUGGCUGAGAUCAGGUGUGGUAUCUGUUCUUAACAGCUUAAUAUCUAAUACAUUCUCCAUCCAAUAAUAUAUUACAUGGCUUUUUGGAGCAGGGAGAUGGAAUGGGAGCUUGCUCCAUCCACUUCACAAAUCAACCUGGUUUAAAAAAA
Small nuclear RNA from Vulpes vulpes (red fox), 165 nucleotides. Its record names the gene U2. It matches the Rfam family "U2 spliceosomal RNA". From Rfam's summary of the family: U2 is a small nuclear RNA (snRNA) component of the spliceosome (involved in pre-mRNA splicing). Complementary binding between U2 snRNA (in an area lying towards the 5' end but 3' to hairpin I) and the branchpoint sequence (BPS) of the intron results the bulging out of an unpaired adenosine, on the BPS, which initiates a nucleophilic attack at the intronic 5' splice site, thus starting the first of two transesterification reactions that mediate splicing. The record is from Ensembl. Lineage: Eukaryota; Metazoa; Chordata; Mammalia; Carnivora; Canidae.